GAUGAACGCUGGCGGCGUGCCUAAUACAUGCAAGUCGAGCGAACAGACGAGGAGCUUGCUCCUCUGACGUUAGCGGCGGACGGGUGAGUAACACGUGGAUAACCUACCUAUAAGACUGGGAUAACUUCGGGAAACCGGAGCUAAUACCGGAUAAUAUAUUGAACCGCAUGGUUCAAUAGUGAAAGACGGUUUUGCUGUCACUUAUAGAUGGAUCCGCGCCGCAUUAGCUAGUUGGUAAGGUAACGGCUUACCAAGGCAACGAUGCGUAGCCGACCUGAGAGGGUGAUCGGCCACACUCGAACUGAGACACGGUCCAGACUCCUACGGGAGGCAGCAGUAGGGAAUCUUCCGCAAUGGGCGAAAGCCUGACGGAGCAACGCCGCGUGAGUGAUGAAGGUCUUCGGAUCGUAAAACUCUGUUAUUAGGGAAGAACAAAUGUGUAAGUAACUAUGCACGUCUUGACGGUACCUAAUCAGAAAGCCACGGCUAACUACGUGC
This 498-nucleotide ribosomal RNA is filed under the name uncultured bacterium. Its description in RNAcentral is "partial 16S ribosomal RNA". It matches the Rfam family "Bacterial small subunit ribosomal RNA", at positions 28 to 508 of the family's 1533-position model. The record is from RNAcentral.